This 73-nucleotide transfer RNA is filed under the name Sodalis ligni. It matches the Rfam family "tRNA". Rfam says of the family: Transfer RNA (tRNA) molecules are approximately 80 nucleotides in length. Their secondary structure includes four short double-helical elements and three loops (D, anti-codon, and T loops). Lineage: Bacteria; Pseudomonadati; Pseudomonadota; Gammaproteobacteria; Enterobacterales; Bruguierivoracaceae. The record is from Rfam by way of RNAcentral.
GGGUGAUUAGCUCAGCUGGGAGAGCGUCUCCCUUACAAGGAGAGGGUCGGCGGUUCGAUCCCGUCAUCACCCA